Molecule: long non-coding RNA, 2293 nt
Organism: Columba livia (rock pigeon)
Lineage: Eukaryota; Metazoa; Chordata; Aves; Columbiformes; Columbidae
Exons: 3
Source: RefSeq, a predicted model, not a curated record
GCCGGCCGCCCGCCGCCGGGCAGAGCCGGCCGCCCGCCGCCCCACGCACCGCUGUCCAGCCGGGCGAUCUGGGGGAGCCGGGUGCGAGCAACGCCUGCGCAGCUGCCGCUCCUCCCCGCGCCGAAAAGGAAAAGUGCCGGGCUGCCCGGCGGGGAGCGCCGCCGCCGAGCCUGUCCCUCUCACUCCACCCUCCGACCGCUCGCCCGACGUGCAGCCCGCCCGGGAGAGCCGCGGGCGGCCCCGCAGGUUGCUAGACUGCAGAAACUCCUGGAAAUUAAACCAGAAAAUCCUACUCCGGGGUGGUUGCAUUGUACCGUGCUUAAGUUUAUUUUGUUCACUUCUGCGUCAAAACCCUUUCUUUUAUUGCAGUAAACCUGGCUGCAUUUUAGGCUGUAGUGUUGACUAGAAACAUAGAAGUGCCUUUCAGUGAUUUGUGAAACAACUGAAAACAUCCACCGCCAGCAUCUCCCUCCAGGUGCCAUCUUUUCUGGUGUCUUUCCUUGCGCUGGCUGGGGAUGGCAGAGCCGGGCUACAAGGAGAUCUCCUGCUCCUCUCGCCCUUCCUCACCGGCCUGGUGCAGGGCCGUUCUGCGCUGCGUGCCUUGGAACGGCUGGUGCCAGCAGCACCGCCAGGACGGGGACAGCUGAGACAGACACGCUCUUGUUCUGCUCCGCUGCAAACAGAGACUGGGACUUCAGCCAUGCUCUCCAAGAGGAAACAAAGGCUCUGGAAGCCAGUCGGCGCAGAGGAUUACAGAAAACCCAAGUUGUCUUGCUUCAAAUGGAUCUGGGUUGGUUUGAACCUUGUCCUGAUGUGGGUCCAUUGCUUUAGCUAUGCAGUCUGGCACUGGGAUUUCCCAGCGCUAUGGCAAACCUUCCUUCUCUACAUUUCAGUCAUGCUGCCGGUAGAUCGCUCCUACCAGAAUAACUACCUUUAAAAACAAGACACUGCAUUUUUUUUCAAAAGUGUCUUCCCUUUUACAAACUUCACAAAAUGCUUUGUACAACUUAAGUGAACUAAGCUAUUGAAGUGCAAAGUAAUAUACUUGCUAAGAGCAUUAUUGUAGAAAUAUGGAAAGCAAAAGUGUGGCUUUAAGUCGUUCAUGUUUGAUGAGGUUAUUGGGUGCAGCAUAUAAGGCACAGCAGAUCAGGUCAGACUGGGAUUCACCAGGACUUCAGACACUCAUCUGUCAAGAACUGCUUCUAAAUACAAUCAUACUUAGCAUUAAUUCCAGGAUAAAUACUGUCUCGCAGCGUAUGCUUCUCUCAGACAAUAUGCACUUCUCCUGUCUGGGAAGAAAUUCAUCUUUCGCACAGAAAUAGUUACUGCUAAUUUUUCUUUAAAGAUUUUUUUCGUUCAGACAGUUUUAGAUGUGUUCUAAGUCAGUCUUCAUACAACCACGUUUGUGUUCUCUCCAACUAGUAGAAACCCAGCCCACUCUUACUGGUCCUACUGGAACAGGAUGCAUUUUAAAAAAUAUGUACCUUGGAGAUACUAUCUAAAUUUCAUUCAGUUAUUUCCAGGCAAAGAGACAUCAUAAAGCUUAUUAGUAUUUAAAUGUCUCACUGGGGCUCUCAAAGUGACUUUGUUAAUGCGUCCUAACUGUGCUAUAGCUCAACCUCCUUGUUGAAUAUGUACAAUAUAUGUAAUAUAUCCUAAUGUAACAUACACAAUAUUCAAAUCACCAGCGUAUAUGAAUCUCUGAUAUUUUCUUCCUUUAACUGCACCUUAUGUAUAAUUAAUACUUUAGAGAUAAUAAUUUCUCUGAUGUCUAGCAAUGCUUUAGUCCCUUAGGUGAUCUCUUACCCGAGUCUCUUACAAGUGCAAAAAGCUAAGAAAGCCAUCAGACCUCGAGAGGAAUCCCCGGGAGCAAACACACCACAGGACCAGGGCCUCAGUUACAAAACAUUUUAGUUUUUGCAUAUGUGCCUUUCAGGCAUCGUUCGGAGAUGGUCUUUAUGUAUCAAGAGCCACUUGUCACCGUAAAACCAUAAGCAGUGGCAGGGGGACUCCAAUUAACUCCUGAAAUUAUUCUUAAAUGCAUUUUGAAUUGACUGACUUUCACGUGGAUUUCACAACAUGUUUAUGCAGCAGGCUGUAAAAAUCCCUAGUAUGUAUUUAUUGCCAAUAAAAUGAUUUUUAAAUAUUUUGGAUCAUCAUCAGUUCCUGUCUACACUAACAUUUCAAGUGGAGCUGUUCACAACAAACUGAUUUUAGUAUGAAUCUGGUAACAUGCUCUACAAUGUAGUUAGUACGCAUACGCCAAAUAAAACUCUGAGCCUUAUACAGUAAA